UAGUGCGAUUUCAUGCCAGCGUGUGUCCU
RNAcentral lists this non-coding RNA (29 nucleotides) under Mus musculus (house mouse). Lineage: Eukaryota; Metazoa; Chordata; Mammalia; Rodentia; Muridae. The record is from RNAcentral.